This 301-nucleotide ribosomal RNA is filed under the name uncultured bacterium. Its description in RNAcentral is "partial 16S ribosomal RNA". It matches the Rfam family "Bacterial small subunit ribosomal RNA", at positions 509 to 807 of the family's 1533-position model. The record is from RNAcentral.
CAGUAGCCGCGGGAAUACAGAGGAUGCAAGCGUUAUCCGGAAUGAUUGGGCGUAAAGCGUCUGUAGGUGGCUUUUCAAGUCCGCCGUCAAAUCCCAGGGCUCAACCCUGGACAGGCGGUGGAAACUACCAAGCUGGAGUACGGUAGGGGCAGAGGGAAUUCCCAGUGGAGCGGUGAAAUGCGUUGUGAUCGAAAAGAACACCAACAGCGAAAGCACUCUGCUGGGACGACACUGACACUAAGAGACGAAAGCUAGGGGAGCAAAUGGGAUUAGAUACCCGCGUAGUCCCUGUCUCUUAUAC